GUUUAGUCUGCCCUUUUCUUCUCGCGACAGAGAAACAAGCCUCAACAGGAUGGAGUUUGGAGUCACACUGCACCUGGUGUAUAUUUAAACUGGUGCUGGGCAGUGCUGGAAAUUGUCCCGCAGACAUCAUUCCCAGAGAGGAGGAUGACACCUGAAACAGCAACCAGGCCUGACUACAGCAGCCCCUCUGGUCCUCCAUCCUCAGUCUCCUCACAGAAAUACUCGAACAUCUCACUAGAAGAGUGAGUCUGUACUUAAAGUGCUUACCUCUCCUGUUCUGUCUUUCAUCACAAGAAACCAACCACUGCAAUCUUUAGCCACAAGUCUGACACUUAUGGUUGUAUCCUUUGAAUAAGUAUGUGCUAAUAUGUAAAGCAGGG
Long non-coding RNA from Oreochromis aureus, 380 nucleotides. NCBI's taxonomy places the organism in Eukaryota, Metazoa, Chordata, Actinopteri, Cichliformes, Cichlidae. The record is from Ensembl.